CCGUCUCUCCGGGGUCGAACCUCCCAGACCUCAGUUGGACAGUCGCCCGGAGGUCCAUGGGAGAUGCCGCGGGCGCAACGCCUCUGACCCGCCCUUAACCCCGUUCCCCCCAGUGAUGUCACUCAGGAAGCGACUCGUCCCCAGAAGCCCCGGCACCGGGACCUUCCGUCAUUGGCCGGGAAUCCCAGGAAUCCUCCCCAUCUGUGGGCCACGCCGCUCCUCGGCGUUCCUCUGCCUCUACGGAUGCCGACCGGGAAUUUCGAAUGGAACGAGACCGUCGUCCGGAGGAUACCCUCAGACAGAGGACCAGAGGAAGAACCCGCGGGCUGGGAUGGAGGCCUGGACGAGUCCAGAGAGCCUCCCCCUCCCGACUCCAAUCCAUUCUGAUAUCCCACCUCUUCCAACAGUCUUUCCUCGAUUAAAUCCCGCCCCACCAAGUUGUAUAAAUCCAUCAGUCGACUCUAAAACCCGUGCUAUUGUUCAUUCCCAUCCUCAGCGUGCUCGUAAUAAUAAUAAUAAUAAUGAUAAUGUUGGUAUUUGUUCAGCGCAUACUACGUGCAGAGCACCGUUCUAA
This 574-nucleotide long non-coding RNA is filed under the name Ornithorhynchus anatinus (platypus). Its description in RNAcentral is "lncRNA (ENSOANG00000042530.1)". Lineage: Eukaryota; Metazoa; Chordata; Mammalia; Monotremata; Ornithorhynchidae. The record is from RNAcentral.